AUUGAACGCUGGCGGAAUGCUUUACACAUGCAAGUCGAACGGCAGCACGGGGGCAACCCUGGUGGCGAGUGGCGAACGGGUGAGUAAUACAUCGGAACGUGCCCAGUCGUGGGGGAUAACGUAGCGAAAGUUACGCUAAUACCGCAUACGAUCUACGGAUGAAAGCGGGGGACCGUAAGGCCUCGCGCGAUUGGAGCGGCCGAUGUCAGAUUAGGUAGUUGGUGAGGUAAAGGCUCACCAAGCCGACGAUCUGUAGCGGGGCUGAGAGGACGAGCAGGAACACUGGGACCGAGACACGGCCCAGCAUCCUACGGGAGGCAGCAGUGGGGAAUUUUGUACAAUGGGCGCAAGCCUGAUCCAGCCAUUCCGCGUGCAGGACGAAGGCCUUCGGGUUGUAAACUGCUUUUGUACGGAACGAAAAGGCUCUGGUUAAUACCUGGGGCUCAUGACGGUACCGUAAGAAUAAGCACCGGCUAACUACGUGCCAGCCGCCGCGGUAA
This 500-nucleotide ribosomal RNA is filed under the name uncultured bacterium. RNAcentral's name for it is "partial 16S ribosomal RNA". It matches the Rfam family "Bacterial small subunit ribosomal RNA", at positions 29 to 523 of the family's 1533-position model. The record is from RNAcentral.